Molecule: ribosomal RNA, 450 nt
Filed under: uncultured bacterium
Lineage: Bacteria
Description: partial 16S ribosomal RNA
Rfam family: Bacterial small subunit ribosomal RNA
Source: RNAcentral
CCUACGGGGGGCUGCAGUAGGGAAUAUUGGGCAAUGGACGCAAGUCUGACCCAGCCACGCCGCGUGAAGGAUGACUGCCCUAUGGGUUGUAAACUUCUUUUGUAUGGGAAGAAACCUCCGAACGUGUUCGGAGCUGACGGUACCAUAAGAAUAAGCAUCGGCUAACUCCGUGCCAGCAGCCGCGGUAAUACGGAGGAUGCAGGCGUUGUUGGGAUUAAAGGGUGCGUAGGGGGGCGAAUGAGUCGGUUGAGAAAGCUCGCAGCUUAACUGUGAAAAUGCCAUUGAAACUGAUUUUCUUGAGUUCGAUUGAGGUAGAUGGAAUGUAUCAUGUAGCGGUGAAAUGCUUAGAUAUGAUACAGAACACCAAUUGCGAAGGCAGUCUACUAAGUCGAUACUGACGCUGAGGCACGAAAGCAUGGGGAGCAAACAGGAUUAGAUACCCUGGUAGUC